RNAcentral lists this ribosomal RNA (253 nucleotides) under uncultured bacterium. RNAcentral's name for it is "partial 16S ribosomal RNA". It matches the Rfam family "Bacterial small subunit ribosomal RNA", at positions 524 to 776 of the family's 1533-position model. The record is from RNAcentral.
UACGAAGGACCCGAGCGUUAUCCGGAUUUAUUGGGUUUAAAGGGUGCGUAGGUGGAACGGUAAGUCAGUGGUGAAAGCCUGUUGCUUAACAACAGAACUGCCAUCGAUACUGCCGAUCUUGAGUACAUAUGAUGUGGGCGGAAUGUGCCAUGUAGCGGUGAAAUGCUUAGAUAUGGCACAGAACACCGAUUGCGAAGGCAGCUCACAAAACUGUAACUGACACUGAGGCACGAAAGCGUGGGGAGCAAACAGG